This 70-nucleotide transfer RNA is filed under the name Camelus bactrianus (Bactrian camel). It matches the Rfam family "tRNA". From Rfam's summary of the family: Transfer RNA (tRNA) molecules are approximately 80 nucleotides in length. Lineage: Eukaryota; Metazoa; Chordata; Mammalia; Artiodactyla; Camelidae. The record is from Rfam by way of RNAcentral. RNAcentral also lists the same sequence under 2 other names.
GCAGCAAUAGCUCAGUGGUAGAGCGCAUGCUUAACAAGCACGAGCCUGGGUUCAGUCUCCAGUACCUCCA